UACGUAGGGUGCAAGCGUUGUCCGGAAUUAUUGGGCGUAAAGAGCUCGUAGGCGGUCUGUCACGUCGGCUGUGAAAACCCGAGGCUCAACCUCGGGCCUGCAGUCGAUACGGGCAAACUAGAGUACUGCAGGGGAGACUGGAAUUCCUGGUGUAGCGGUGAAAUGCGCAGAUAUCAGGAAGAACACCCGUGGCUAAGGCGGCUCUCUAGUACGGUACUGACGCUGAGACGCGAAAGCGUGGGGAGCGAACAGG
Molecule: ribosomal RNA, 253 nt
Filed under: uncultured bacterium
Lineage: Bacteria
Description: partial 16S ribosomal RNA
Rfam family: Bacterial small subunit ribosomal RNA
Source: RNAcentral